Molecule: ribosomal RNA, 468 nt
Filed under: uncultured Comamonadaceae bacterium
Lineage: Bacteria; Pseudomonadati; Pseudomonadota; Betaproteobacteria; Burkholderiales; Comamonadaceae
Description: bacterial SSU rRNA
Rfam family: Bacterial small subunit ribosomal RNA
Source: RNAcentral
GCCUACGGGGGGCAGCAGUGGGGAAUUUUGGACAAUGGGCGCAAGCCUGAUCCAGCAAUGCCGCGUGCAGGAAGAAGGCCUUCGGGUUGUAAACUGCUUUUGUCAGGGAAGAAAUCCUCUGGGCUAAUACCUCGGGGGGAUGACGGUACCUGAAGAAUAAGCACCGGCUAACUACGUGCCAGCAGCCGCGGUAAUACGUAGGGUGCGAGCGUUAAUCGGAAUUACUGGGCGUAAAGCGUGCGCAGGCGGCUUUGCAAGACAGAGGUGAAAUCCCCGGGCUCAACCUGGGAACUGCCUUUGUGACUGCAAGGCUAGAGUACGGCAGAGGGAGAUGGAAUUCCGCGUGUAGCAGUGAAAUGCGUAGAUAUGCGGAGGAACACCGAUGGCGAAGGCAAUCUCCUGGGCCUGUACUGACGCUCAUGCACGAAAGCGUGGGGAGCAAACAGGAUUAGAUACCCUGGUAGUCGC